GACGAACGCUGGCGGCGUGCUUAACACAUGCCAGUCGAACGGAAAGGCCCUGCUUUUGUGGGGUGCUCGAGUGGCGAACGGGUGAGUAACACGUGAGUAACCUGCCCUUGACUUUGGGAUAAAUUCAGGAAACUGGGGCUAAUACCGGAUAGGAGCUCCUGCUGCAUGGUGGGGGUUGGAAAGUUUCGGCGGUUGGGGAUGGACUCGCGGCUUAUCAGCUUGUUGGUGGGGUAGUGGCUUACCAAGGCUUUGACGGGUAGCCGGCCUGAGAGGGUGACCGGCCACAUUGGGACUGAGAUACGGCCCAGACUCCUACGGGAGGCAGCAGUGGGGAAUAGUGCACAAUGGGCGGAAGCCUGAUGCAGCAACGCCGCGUGCGGGACGACGGCCUUCGGGUUGUAAACCGCUUUCGCCUGUGACGAAGCGUGAGUGACGGUAAUGGGUAAAGAAGCACCGGCUAACUACGUG
RNAcentral lists this ribosomal RNA (468 nucleotides) under uncultured bacterium. RNAcentral describes it as "partial 16S ribosomal RNA". It matches the Rfam family "Bacterial small subunit ribosomal RNA", at positions 28 to 507 of the family's 1533-position model. The record is from RNAcentral.